RNAcentral lists this unclassified non-coding RNA (306 nucleotides) under plant metagenome. Its description in RNAcentral is "partial contains 5.8S ribosomal RNA, internal transcribed spacer 2, and large subunit ribosomal RNA". The stretch from base 1 to 105 matches the Rfam family "5.8S ribosomal RNA", at positions 50 to 154 of the family's 154-position model. The record is from RNAcentral.
GAAAUGCGAUAAGUAAUGUGAAUUGCAGAAUUCAGUGAAUCAUCGAAUCUUUGAACGCACAUUGCGCCCUUUGGCAUUCCGAAGGGCAUGCCUGUCCGAGCGUCAUUUCAACCAUCAAGCCCCCGGGCUUGUGUUGGGGACCUGCGGCUGCCCGCAGGCCCUGAAAACCAGUGGCGGGCUCGCUGUCACACCGAGCGUAGUAGCAAUCACCUCGCUCAGGGCGUGCUGCGGGCUCCGGCCGUUAAACAGCCUUACAAAACCCAAGGUUGACCUCGGAUCAGGUAGGAAGACCCGCUGAACUUAAGC